Scylla paramamosain (green mud crab) is the source of this 1438-nucleotide long non-coding RNA. RefSeq lists it as uncharacterized. Lineage: Eukaryota; Metazoa; Arthropoda; Malacostraca; Decapoda; Portunidae. The transcript is spliced from 2 exons. The record is from RefSeq and is a predicted model, not a curated record.
CGGUGUGCGGGUCCCUGCUGGCAACAGGUGGUGGGCGGAGCCUGUCAUUCAUUCUGAGUUCUCAUUUCAAGUCAGCAAGGCAAUGAAACAUAUCAAUCUUGAGAUUUAGUCAUUAUUAAUAAAGGAAUGUGCGGGCAAAGUGACAGAUAUGGUAACCUGCAUUCAUGGUGACGAAAAUGACGACAAGCCGUGCAGUACAGGGACUGAGAGGAUGGCAUAAGUGACUUGCUUUGGCAUGGGAACACGGGAGGUGUUACGGUAAAGGUUGAUGUUGAUUGAUUAUUUUGUUUGAAAUUUGGAAGCCCUAUAAACAUGGCUGAAUGUCUUACCCUGCUGGAGCGUGCCCAGCUAGCAGCACAUUAUGAAGUUUGGAAAUCCAUUGUUCAAGUGCAAAGAUGGUGGAGGACCAUUUGAGGACUACAGUUCAAGUUGAUGCAAAGACAAUCAAGAACUGUCAUGCAAAACUCAUGGCUACAGGGUCUGCAGCUGAUACUCAAAGAAGCGGUCACCCUUCCAAGUCCAGCAACCAGGAGACCAUGCAAGCAGUUCAAGAAAUGUUUACAUGUAACCCAAAAAGUCAAUUCGACAAGCAGCAAGAGAAACUGGCUCUCCUUUAGUACAAUAUGAACUGUGCUUAAAUGGCAGCUUAAAUGGCAUGCUUGGAAGCCACACAACUGCCAAAUACUCUCUGCUGAAGACUGUGACAUUCGCAUGGAGAAUAUGCUGGCUUGGUAUGAAGACUGGUCAGAUCCCUUUAAAAAUAUCCUCUGGAGUGAUGGUGGUAUUUCACAUUGAUGGGUUUGUGAACUGUCACAACUGUCACUAUUGGGCAGGAGAAGAUCCUCUUGUAAUCUCUGAAAAAUGCAGAAUCGGCCCAAAGUAACGGUGUGGUGUGGGAUGACUUCAGGCAGGAUCGUGGGCUCAUUCAUUCUACGCGAUACCAUGAAUGAUGAAAGGUACCUUACCAUGCCGCAAGAUGAAGUCUGGCCAGUUAUUGGUGCCUGGGAGAAUGCUGAAGAUUUUAUUUUCAUGCAAGAUGGUGCCCCUCCACAUUUUGCUAUUGUCAUUUAUGAAUGGCUGAAUGCCCACUUUCCUGGGAGAUGGAUGGGUCGUCAUGGUCCAUAUGAGUGUCCAACCAGGAGUCCUGAAUUAACACCAUGUGCCUUUUUUCUUUGGGGUUGGUUAAAGGAGCAAGUCUACUGUACCAAACCAAAGAUUUUGGAAGAACUUGAAGGGGAAAUACAAGAAAUUGUCUUCCAUUCCACAAGAGUUUCUGGUGAAAUCAAGUGACACAAUUCCUGAGUGGCUCGAGAAGCUGGUAGUGAAAUCUGGUGCCCAUAUCAAGUUUUAAAUAGAACCUCAUGGUAAAUGCUUUUCUCUCAUAUCCAUUUCUUGUAAAAAUUAGUUAAUAAAUAAAUUGUAAGUAUUUCAAAAUGGA